GGACGUUUAAAAAAUAAAAAAAUUAACAAGAAAUUGCUGGGUGCUCCCAAGCACAAAGAAAUAGAACCCAUCAUGGAAAUGAACUAGGAAAAUCUUGAUCUGGAAUUUUCAUCAGUUUAUAGACAAUAUGGCGAAACUUGAACCAUAUGAAGAUGAUGAAUCGAGAUCAAAGCGUCAAACAAAGAGAAAUACGGCUGCAAAGAGGAACCACGGAUCCACCAAUUUCUUUGUUUUUGUGGAUUACCUUUUUCUCUGCAUCUUCUUCUGUUUCCUCCUCUUCGUUCUCCGGUUUUUAAUCCAGAAAGGUAAACGUUUAACGACCCAUUUUCUCAUUAUUUACGAAUCUAAUAAUAUUGUACUGAAUUUGCCCAUUUUUAAUCAAUGGCGAAUUUUGCAGUUAUAUAUCAUAUUCCUCUGUGUGUGUAUGUAUAUGCCCCUGUUUGUUGUUUGCCUCUUGAUGUGUAUAAGAUUCAAUUAAAGGGAAAAACAGAAGGGAGCCAAUUUACUGACCCUUUUGAGGGAUAUUUUAUAAUUAUGUUAGGGGCAAAGUCAUAGUUCUGUCUUACAAGAAUGAAUCAUGUUAAAAACUUAUAUGCUUUAAAUUGCUUAUACAGAUUCAGAUAUGUAAGUUUUAUUAUGAUUUUGACGACAUAUUAUCUGUUUUGUGGUUAGCUGUUUUGUAAUUAAGCUUCAUAGUUGUGUUGCCAAGGCUAUGUGCCUCUGCUUCUUAUUAGGCUAAAUCUAAUUUUUUAUGCUGCUAAGAUGCUUGGUUAAGAGAGACGUUGGAGGGUGCUGGUCUAAGUUUCAGAUAAAGUGAAUGUGAAAUUUUAGAACUUGGAGAUUUUGGUGAAGAAGGCAUUGAUUUUUCACACAAAUGCUUUAUAAUUUUGCAUAAAAUGCGAUGUGCUACAUUUUAGGUUGUGGACCCGAGUUUCUGAAUUCUAUAAUUUUGAGAUUUGGUGAAGGCGGAACUGAUUUUGGCGUACUGUCUCAUUUUUCAUAAAAUUCGUGAACUAAUAUUUGGAUAUUGUGAUGUGCUAAAAUUUCUCUUGAUAAGUUUGCCAAUCGGACAAAAAAAAAAAACUUAUGCAUUUUCAGUAUAAUAAUUUCGUAAUUCAAAGCUGAUGCGCGAGGAUGUAUACUCUUUCGAGAUGGAGUAUGCCAUGAGGUCUAGAGUUUGUGAAGGGUCAAUUGCUUGAGUAGAUUAUUUUACACAACAUAUUCUUUUGGUUGUUGUUGGUUGAUUUGAAGGUACAAUUCAUAGGCAGUUCUCACACAACAUUCUUUGUUACCACCGUAGGUGAUAGGUCAAAAAUGUUUUGUUCCAGUUGCAUUCACGCCUAAACUAUCAGUAUAAGCACCAACCAUAAGAAAAAGUCACAAUACUUGUAUUGAAGUCAACAUUUUAAAUAUGUCUUGUUAAUCUUGACUGAACAGAUUUUAUAUGUUCUCCCAAUUCCAACAAUACAUCAUUGGAAUGUUCUACCUUGGUUGGUUGUAUGUUUUACAUUCAUUUGUUCUAAGAUGCUAAAACCAUUGUAAUACUAUGCCUGAACAUUUUAAAAAUGGUUGGACUCAAUUGACCUUGCAUAUAUGCUUGACACUGAAUUUUAAAUGAAGCUGGACGGGAAACUAUAAAAAAAUAAGUACAAAACACGGUGAAUCCUGAUCCAAUAAUGUAAAGUAAUCAUCUAAAAUUCUCAUCUGGGGUUAUGUUUUCUUGCAAAUUCUCCAGGGCAAUGAUAUGGAGCACUGGAUUCAAGUUCAAGUCCUCGACUGUUUUACAGGCAUGGCAUGGACAGAUCCAGAAGUUGCAAAUGUAGAAACUGAUGUUCGCCUUGGCUCAAACUGACUGAUUGCCUUGGUGACCGUAACUUCUCUUUCUCUUUUUUUGUAGAAGCGUCACUUAUGUAUUUCCUUUGUUAUUCUUUCAUGUGAUAUAUUUAUCGAAUUGUUUGAUGCUCGAGUCCUUUUUCUUAAAUCCCAUGUGCAUUUUUGUUGUUUGACAUUGGAUCAUGUUUUUGGAAAGUUUGUAGGAAUUAUAUUUUUGUAAUCAAUGCCAUGUUCGAUGGUUUAAGUAAUGCACGACGUAUAAGAUUUUUCUUACUAAAAAGAUAAUAGGUGAUUUUGUACUCCUGUUUGAUUGUGGGUAGAGAAUGACUCUACGUCUGCUUUCUUGCCCUGUAAGACUGCUUUUUGUGUGAAAACAGAAUGUAGGAGAUGCGAACUGCU
This 2232-nucleotide long non-coding RNA is filed under the name Olea europaea subsp. europaea. The record is from RNAcentral. Lineage: Eukaryota; Viridiplantae; Streptophyta; Magnoliopsida; Lamiales; Oleaceae.